RNAcentral lists this unclassified non-coding RNA (4977 nucleotides) under Hevea brasiliensis (rubber tree). The record is from RNAcentral. Lineage: Eukaryota; Viridiplantae; Streptophyta; Magnoliopsida; Malpighiales; Euphorbiaceae.
CUAAAUUUGAACUAUUUUCAAAAUCAAUUUUUUUGAAAUACAUAAGCAAUUAGAAAAGAUCAUCAAAGAAACUUUUAGGCUCCAUUAAUGUUUGUUAAGUAUAACAUUAGUUCUUUACUAUCUACAUGUAGUUAUUUUAGUUUGAAAUUAAUUAAUGCUAAUAAUAUCUAAGAAUAAUAGAUUUAAUGUUUUAUUUGAUAUAUUUAUGCUCAUUAUUUAGUUGUAUAUUUUAGUUUUACUUAUAUUUUUAAAUAUCUAUUCACUUAGUGAACUUUGCAAAAUUUUUCAAAAAAACUUGCAUAGCAUAUGCCGUUACCAUUACGUUACAGAGCCGUAACAGACCUGUUUCCGUUACUCGCGACUGUGACGGCAAUUUAAAUCUAUGAUAUUGUAGUUUAAAAUGGAAAGUUAUUAGGAAAAACAAAUAAAAGGGACGCAAAAUAUACCUGUUAGUUGAAUUCCUUUUUUAGCACGAUAAGACUUAUAAAAGUUGUUUUCAUUUAUGUUCAAAGGUGAAUUUAAUUUUAAUAUAAUGAAAUAUUUUCCAGUUCCAUUAGAAUAUUGUAUAUCUUGAUAGCUUUUCUAAUGAUAUACAUUUGUUUAUUAAUUUCUUGGCCGUUAAAGCUUCGUAUGCAGUCAGGAUUUUGUGAUUGUGACAUUGUGUCCAUGGUUGUUAAGGGUGCAAGGCUCACCAAAGGGCCUAGGGGUCUUGAAGCCGAGGUGCAAGCGAAGGGGAGUGCCUGAGUGACACAUUGCGCAAAGAGAUUUCUGCAAAAAUUCAGUAUUAUUUAAUUUCAUAACAUAUUUAAGAAAUUAACAAUCUACCUUUAGAAAAAAAAAAUAGUUCUAUUGCAAAAAUUGAUAGAAUUUAACAACUUUCAUAGAAUAAAUUGUAAGUAAACAAAUUAAUCACCAAUUGAACAUACAACAAAUUAAACACCUUGAAAAAUUGAACAUGUACUCACGAAUAAAUUAAAAUUUGUUAAGAAUAGAGGGAGUUACUGAUUAACAUUUUACAUUUGUCAAGAGUAGAGAAUAGAGGAAGUUAUUAAUUAAAAUUUGUUACAAGUGAGCCACAUUAGUGCAUGGAUCCAGCAUAUCCAUGCGAGGAAAUUGCAUUCCCAUAGAGGAAGUUAAUUUAAAUAAAUUUGUCAAGAAUAUAGAAUAGAGGGAGUUACAAGUAUGUUAAUUUUACGGUUUAAGAGAAAAAAGAUUAGGUAUAAAAAAAAUACCAGAGCAGAAUGAAAAGAGAUGCAGCCGCAGCUAAGGGUAGGAGGGAAACAAAGAAGAUCCAAACAAGGCAGAAGGAGAAGGAUUUAAGGCGUGUGGACCCCAGAAAUUAGAAGAUCGGCCACAAGCGACCUAGGUACAGGUGUUCCUAAAGAUCCCUGCAGCGGAGAUGGACUUUCUGAUGCUUCGAUGUUAGAUUUUGAUAGAUCAGAACAUUCCAAGUCUAGUGAUGGUGGUCUUUGUGUAUCAGAAGGCAGAGGUGUAGGUUUACGAUGCAUGUUGCAUCUCAGCCAGUAGACGCAAACCCUUGGGCCAGGUGCGCUUUGCACCUUAGGCGCGCCUCAUUGGCAAUGCAGUUAAACAAUCUAACAACAUAUGAGAUGCACCUUUAUAGCUGGCCUAGUUAUCAUGCUAUUAUUAUAUGUUGCUACAAUCAUUGGCAUGUGACUUUCUCUAGUUGGUUGCUGAAGAUGAUAAGCCUUAGCACAAGCUAGUCAACCUCUUGAUUUGGCUCUAUCCUUUUUGAAUGCACAAAUUUGUUUGUUAAUGAUGACUACCAGUGGAUAAUGGAGAUGGUUUGUUCAAUCCAUGAGCUUCCAUCUCUUGCAUCUCUUUUUUUUUUCAACCAGUGAAUUAUUUCACCCUUCCGUUGGAAAUAAAAUGCUGUUCUUGUUAAUUUUAACUUCAUCAUUUUAAAUUGAAAUGACCUCUCUCCCUUUCUCAAUUCCAGCUUCUUAACAAGGAAAUUUUAAUUGCUUUUUAGGAGAUUCUCUCCAUUUAUUUUUUGUGGUUGUAGUGGAUGUGGAAGAGGGUAAAUUAGUUCUUCAUUUUGUUGAUUUGGCCAUAAUGAUGAUAAUUGACUUUGAUGGUAGUGAAAUUGCUAAUGGCUACAAGUUACAAUUUUUUUACAUCAUGCAUUCUCUGUUGGUAAUUAUUCCUAUAUUUCUUUUAGGAAAUGGAUCUCUUAAAAAAUCGUAAAAGAAGAUACUUGCUGAAAACUCAGUAGCUGUUUUACUGCUUUCUGUGUCACCUACAUUGUUUGAUAAGUUUAUUGCCCUCCUCUUUAAUUUUUUUUCACCUCUUUAUUGCAUGGCUGAGCUUAUUCUGGUAUUGUUGGUAUUUUGGUACAGUACAACUCGUCUACCAAUUUAUGAAAAGACAAGAAGUUGUACCUGACAUUAUGCCUAUGAUAAAACCACAACAAUAUCAUUGUACUGGAGGUAGUGCCCCUCUCUAGGCACUCUAUUCAUUGAUUCAAUACUUCAUUUUGCCGGGUAAAGAAAGGGAAAUAAUAGAAAAUAUGAUCAAAUGAAAUUUCAAUUUUUCCAGUUGUGAUGCUGGGUUUUAAGUUGAAGUUUGACUUGGGAAAAUAAAUUUCUGCCAUGAUUUGAUUUUGGACUUCUGAUCUUUCUCUGUUUCUCUCUCUUUCUCUCUUAACAAUCAUCACCACCUCCUCCAAGUUGUAAUUGAUCUUGCCUUCUGUGAUCCAAGGAGCAAGGUGAUAAAUGCUAAAGGCUGUCGUCUAAGCCAUUGUGGACUGAGACAAAGACUGUAAUCCUCAAUGGUUAGCUUACGAAGGCGUAAACUCUUGGGACUGUGUGCUGGGAGAAGUUCUUUCUUGACUCCACUUCCUCGAUUUUUUGAUCAUGGAACAGCUCCUUUAAGCUCUACUCAGAAUGCCAGGUUUGUCAGUGUACAUCCUCUGCCGUCAGAUGAUGUCAAGCAGCCAGGGGAGGUAAAGGUAGCAUGUUAUUUCAGUUAAAUUUUAGAUGUUCUGUCAUAUAAAUUUUCAUUUGCAUAUAUCUAAUACCAAUUUAUGUGGGCUUUAUAAUUUUAGGGGUAGUAUUUUUUUUUAUCUGCCAAAACGCUGGAGAGUGCUUGAAGUUAAUAGGAAUACUUACCCUGUGGAAAAAUAGGAUAUCGAUAGAUUUUGAACUCAAAAUAAAUCUCGUCACUUAUUGAUGUCAUUACUAUUUUGGAGAGUCAUUAAUUCAUUAGAACCUUAUGGGAAAGCAUUAGAUAGGAUUGCUUUUGUUAACUUUAUUGCAUGUGCACAUGUGUAAUUAUGGGAUUCAUGAGUUGCCUUAGCCAAUACAAAGAAGAAAGGAAUGCACUUGUGCAAUUCCAUCUGGUGAGAGAGUGAAUUCAGGAUAUAUCGAGUCCAUUAAUGUUUAAUCAUUGGUGUCAUGGCUGGAUGCAUUGGAAUUAUAGGUUCUUGAUACAUUUUACUCAUAAAUUGUGUGUAAAAAUUGUCAAGCCCAAAGAUUUGGCACACUUGUCCCUCUGAGUUCUCAAGGUUUGACAAGGAUGGAAAAUUAUGUCUGUUUGAGACUUGCUUUUUUAUUUGAGUUGCUUUUUUACUUGAGCAAAGAAUUUUGAGAUUCCAGAUUCGUCGGCAACCAUUUCAUUUAUCCAGGGGGUUGCUUUAACUUUCACGUAAUGAUCUAUGAUAUGAAACCUGUAUUGCCCUUAUUAAAUGCAUUACAUAAUUUAGACGAAUAAGAUUAUUUGCUUUAUUGAUAGAGAAGAUAGAAAGUUUUGUAUUUUGUUUCACAUAUAUAUUUUUUUUAAUUCUAUUUAUAUUUGCAUUAUAUUUUUUAAUGUUGUUUGCCAGAAAAGCAUUUUCAAAGUAGGAGCUGGUUUGUCAAAUGUGUCAGCUUCUAGCUCAUCAAAAGAGCAGCAAUCUCAACCUUAUCCAGGGCAACCAGUUAAACGCAGAAAGCGACACAGGAGAAAGCAUGUUCAAAACCAGGAACCAUGCCUGAUGAGAGGUGUGUACUUCAAAAAUAUGAAAUGGCAGGCAGCAAUUAAAGUUGACAAGAAGCAAAUCCACUUGGGGACUGUUGGUUCACAAGAAGAGGCUGCCCAUUUGUAUGACAGGGCUGCCUUCAUGUGUGGGAGGGAACCCAACUUUGAGCUUCCUCAGGAGGAGAAGCAAGAACUUGGAAAAUUCAAAUGGGAUGAAUUUUUGGCAAUUACUCGCAGUGCAAUUAAUAGUAAAAAACACAAGAGACGGAAUGGAUCUGGGUUGCAGAAGAGAUCUGAACCUGCCUUGCAGAAUGGCGACUGGGAUGACAAGCAAGGAGUGAACAGCUUUUCAGCCUCAGAAGAUACAGAGCCAGACUCAUCCACCUGAGUAUUUUCGGUUUCAGAAUGAGGCUGAAUAAUCCAGUUCUAACUGUGGAGCUUUAGCUUGUCCUCCAUUUUUGGUGUGCAAAGCCCCCUAUUAAGGCGGAUGAUGGUAGACCUUAUCCUUUAGUAAGCAGAUCUUUGCAGUUCUUAACUCAAUAAAGAGACAGAAAGCGCAAUAUUAAAUGUGCUGUCACUGUCUGUUAUCACCAUCAUCUGCAGACCUGUUAAAUACAUAGCUAUACUUAGUUACUUGCCCUUUUUUUUUCUUGGCCCCCAUUAUGGAAGUUGGAAACAGCAGAAUGCUCGAGAAACUUGGUAUCAAGAAGCAAAAUUUCUUUGCUCAAUAGUUCAAAUGAGUUUAUCAUAAUCGAUCAUUUUGUACUGUGUAUUCAUUAAUAUAUAUCUUCUAGGCAGCCAUGGCUAAAUGUUGCAUUCUUCAGGUUGAGUUCAGUUCAAGUGUAGGUUAUAUGUUACAUUUUCUGAACUUUUUUCCGCUUUCCUUUUGGGACAAUGAAAUUCAUAAUUUCUGCCUGAAAUUCCCUUGAAUCCUCACUAGUUGUAAUUUGAUUCAGCUGCUCAACUAGUCAAUUUUUAUUGAUAAUUAGAACUUCGGAA